Molecule: ribosomal RNA, 465 nt
Filed under: uncultured bacterium
Lineage: Bacteria
Description: partial 16S ribosomal RNA
Rfam family: Bacterial small subunit ribosomal RNA
Source: RNAcentral
GACGAACGCUGGCGGCGUGCUUAACACAUGCAAGUCGAACGGAAAGGCCCUGCUUGCAGGGUACUCGAGUGGCGAACGGGUGAGUAACACGUGGGUGAUCUGCCCUGCACUUCGGGAUAAGCCUGGGAAACUGGGUCUAAUACCGGAUAGGAGCCAUUUUUAGUGUGAUGGUUGGAAAGUUUUUUCGGUGUAGGAUGAGCUCGCGGCCUAUCAGCUUGUUGGUGGGGUAAUGGCCUACCAAGGCGGCGACGGGUAGCCGGCCUGUGAGGGUGGACGGCCACAUUGGGACUCAGAGACGGCCCAGACGCCGACGGGAGGCAGCAGUGGGGAAUAUUGCACAAUGGGCGCAAGCCUGAUGCAGCGACGCCGCGUGGGGGAUGACGGCCUUCGGGUGGUAAACUCCUUUCGCUAGGGACGAAGCUUUUUGUGACGGUACCUAGAUAAGAAGCACCGGCUAACUACGUG